AUGAUGGAGCCGCUUCUCAUGCUCACCGCGCUCCUCCUCGCGCACGCGGUGGCUACCCUGGUGCGCGCGGCCGUCGCCCGCCGGCGGCGCUCGCGGUGCUACCUGCUGGACUACGUGUGCCACAAGCCGAGCGACGACCGCAAGGUGAGCACGGAGGUCGGCGGCAGCUUGAUCCUGCGCAACAACCGCCUCGGCCUCCCCGAGCUCCGGUUCCUCCUCCGCGUCAUCGUCCGGUCCGGCAUCGGCGAGCACAGCUACGACCCGUGCAGCAUCCUGGAGGGCCGCGAGGACUCGCCCACCCACCGGGACGCGCUCGACGAGAUGGACGCCUUCUUCGACGAGGCCAUCGCGGAUCUCUUCGUGAGGACCGGCAUGUCGCCCGGGGACGUCGACGUGCUCGUCGUCAACGUCUCCCUUUUCUCCCCGGCGCCGUCGCUUGCCUCCAGGGUCGUGCGCCGCUUCGCCAUGCGCGAGGACGUUGCCGCGUACAGCCUCUCCGGCAUGGGGUGCGGCGCCGGCCUCGUCGCGCUCGACCUCGCGCGCAAUGCGAUGCGGGCUCGGCCGGCGUCCACGCUGGCCCUCGUGGUCUCGUCCGAGUCCAUCGCCCCCAGCUGGUACGCCGGCACCGACCGGUCCAUGAUGCUGGGCAACUGCCUCUUCCGAUCCGGAGGGGCCGCCGCGCUGCUCACCAACGACCCGUCGCUCUGCGGCCGCGCCAAGAUGGCGCUUCGCCACCUCGUCCGCACCAACACCGCCGCCGACGACAAGGCGCACACCUGCGCGCAGCAGCGUGAGGACGACGACGGCCGCGUGGGGAUCAGCCUCGGCAAGGCCUUGCCCGAGGCGGCCGUCCGGGCCUUGACUCUCAACCUGCGGCGCCUCGUCCCGCUCGUCCUCCCCGUGGCCGAGCUCCUGCGGUUCGCCGCCCAGCACGUAUCUAGCAUGCUUCUAUCCCAUUUUGGCAUGCACGUGAAGGCAGCCGGACGUCCCGGCGCCAGGAUCAACUUUAAGACCGGCGUGGAGCACUUCUGCCUCCACCCGGGCGGCGCCGCCGUCAUCGAGGCGGUGAAGGAGAGCCUCGGGUUGGACGACGACGACGUGGAGCCAGCGCGGAUGACGCUGCACCGGUGGGGGAACACGUCGGCGAGCAGCCUCUGGUACGUGCUGUCGUACAUGGAGGCCAAGGGGAGGCUGAAGAGAGGAGAUAGGGCGCUGAUGCUCACCUUCGGGUCGGGGUUCAAGUGCAACAGCUGCCUAUGGGAGGUGACCGGCGACAUGGCUGACAAGGGCGCCUGGGCAGACUGUGUCGAUGAAUACCCACCGGAGAGCACCACCAACCCCUACAUGGACAAGUACAGCUGGGUGAACCAACAAGCUUAA
This 1380-nucleotide ribosomal RNA is filed under the name Triticum aestivum (bread wheat). RNAcentral's name for it is "partial small subunit ribosomal RNA". Lineage: Eukaryota; Viridiplantae; Streptophyta; Magnoliopsida; Poales; Poaceae. The record is from RNAcentral.